Micropterus dolomieu (smallmouth bass) is the source of this 769-nucleotide long non-coding RNA. RefSeq lists it as uncharacterized. The transcript is spliced from 2 exons. The record is from RefSeq and is a predicted model, not a curated record. NCBI's taxonomy places the organism in Eukaryota, Metazoa, Chordata, Actinopteri, Centrarchiformes, Centrarchidae.
UCUCCCUUAUGAAACUGAUCAACAAACUCAGCACUCUGGGCUUGAGUACCACACACUCCAACUGGAUAUUGGACUUCCUCACAAACAGACCCCAGACAAUUUGGAUUGGCAGUCACACCUCCUCCAAUCUAGUGCUCAACACCGGAGCCCCCCCCCCUUCCUGGGCUGUGUGCUCAGCUCCCUCUUGUUCACGCUGUACACCCACGUCUGCAUCCCUUGACAUGGAGAAAACUCUGUUAUCUCCAUGUUUUGCUGACCAUCAUUGUCCAGAUUUCAAACUACGAUGAGAUGUUAUACAGUGUCAUGACUCCUGCAUCUGACACCUGAGUUUGAGACUGAGUGUGUUUUGAUUUGUUUUUUCCCUUUGGGUGAGUGAGGCGUGCUUAGUGUGUUUUUUGUUUGGUCCGUUUUUCUCUCUCCCCUCCUCUCAGUUAUUGAGUCCUAGGUGCGUCUGGCUUCCUGGGUUGGCACAAGCUGCACCUGCUGGCAAUCACACACCUGUUCCUGAUCAGCCAUCCCCACCUCUUCUUAAGGAGUGGCCAGACAUCCGUCCCUUGCCGGAUUGUUAAGUCGUGUGCCAUUGUCCGUUCUACCUGCUCAGCCUGCCUACCAGUUCCUAACCCCCGGAGCCGCUCAUGGAUCCAACCCUUCCAGCCAGCCACGCCAGCCUCAGUCCUCACUCCCCUACUGCUUAGAAGGAAACUCCCUGUGACCUCACCCAGCCUGAGUUUACACCCACUCUACCUUCGUCAAUAAACUGUUCAAACAA